AGGCCUGUAGCUCAGUAGGACAGAGCACUAGAUUCCUAAUCUGGGGGUCGCCGGUUCGACUCCGGCCAGGCCUACCA
Molecule: transfer RNA, 77 nt
Filed under: Verrucomicrobiota bacterium
Lineage: Bacteria; Pseudomonadati; Verrucomicrobiota
Description: tRNA-Arg
Rfam family: tRNA
About the family: Transfer RNA (tRNA) molecules are approximately 80 nucleotides in length. Their secondary structure includes four short double-helical elements and three loops (D, anti-codon, and T loops).
Source: RNAcentral